CCGAGACCCGCGUCAGCGUUCCCAUCCAGUCAAUUCUGACUCCUGACUGCGCAUGCGCCAAAUCAGGACAUUGGGACGGCGUACGCGUUUGGGUGGAACGGGUCCAGUUUCCCUUUUUGAAAAGCUGCAGGAAUCAUGGGAGACGUAUUCCUGCCAGCAGAUGCCGCGCACUCUGUGCUGCGGAGGCUCCCGAGAGCAAAAAACUGGGU
Long non-coding RNA from Cyprinus carpio (common carp), 209 nucleotides. RefSeq lists it as uncharacterized. The record is from RefSeq and is a predicted model, not a curated record. Lineage: Eukaryota; Metazoa; Chordata; Actinopteri; Cypriniformes; Cyprinidae. The transcript is spliced from 3 exons.